RNAcentral lists this ribosomal RNA (410 nucleotides) under uncultured microorganism. RNAcentral describes it as "bacterial SSU rRNA". It matches the Rfam family "Bacterial small subunit ribosomal RNA", at positions 509 to 917 of the family's 1533-position model. The record is from RNAcentral.
CAGCCGCCGCGGUAAUACGUAGGGUGCGAGCGUUAAUCGGAUUUACUGGGCGUAAAGCGUGCGCAGGCGGCCCGUUUAGACAGGUGUGAAAUCCCUGGGCUCAACCUAGGAAUUGCGCUUGUGACUGGCGGGCUCGAGUACGGUAGAGGGGGGUGGAAUUCCUGGUGUAGCAGUGAAAUGCGUAGAGAUCAGGAGGAACACCGAUGGCGAAGGCAGCCCCCUGGGCCUGUACUGACGCUCAUGCACGAAAGCGUGGGGAGCAAACAGGAUUAGAUACCCUGGUAGUCCACGCCCUAAACGAUGGGUACUAGCCGUUUGGUGCGCGAUAGCGCUGAGUGGCGAAGCUAACGCGUGAAGUCCCCCGCCUGGGGAGUACGGCCGCAAGGUUGAAACUUAAAGGAAUUGGCGGG